This 75-nucleotide transfer RNA is filed under the name Alphaproteobacteria bacterium. RNAcentral's name for it is "tRNA-Lys". It matches the Rfam family "tRNA". From Rfam's summary of the family: Transfer RNA (tRNA) molecules are approximately 80 nucleotides in length. Their secondary structure includes four short double-helical elements and three loops (D, anti-codon, and T loops). RNAcentral also lists the same sequence under 3 other names. The record is from RNAcentral. Lineage: Bacteria; Pseudomonadati; Pseudomonadota; Alphaproteobacteria.
GAGCCCGUAGCUCAGCGGUAGAGCAUUCGCCUUUUAAGCGAGGGGUCCUGGGUUCGAAUCCCAGCGGGCUCACCA